GCAAACUUGGUCAUUUAGAGGAAGUAAAAGUCGUAACAAGGUAACCGUAGGUGAACCUGCGGUUGGAUCAUUAAUAAUUAAUAUUGGGGGAGAUAUGCCUGAUAUUUUGGGUAUAUCUCUUCACCAACAACACCUUGUGAAUGUUUCCUGUAUUUUGGCAGUCCACUGAGGAUGAAUAAUUUUUUUAUUCGUCCUUUUUAAAGAAAGAAGUCACUUUUUGGUUCGAGAGAAGAGAUGAGUUUUAGUUCUGUUUUCCUCUGAACAACGUUAUCCGUCUAAACGGCUUUUGCUGGGAUAAUGUUGCAUUUGGGGGGUUUCGGGUUGCUAUGCUUAAAUCUCUCUUGGACUGAAAGUCUUUUUUCGGACUGUCAGCCGUUGAAAAACUCCAAAAUAUUUUUAUGCAUCUGACACAAAAAAGAGAAACAAUGAGAAACAACUUUAGACAACGGAUCUCUUGGCUCUCGCAUCGAUGAAGAACGCAGC
RNAcentral lists this unclassified non-coding RNA (483 nucleotides) under uncultured fungus. RNAcentral describes it as "partial contains small subunit ribosomal RNA, internal transcribed spacer 1, and 5.8S ribosomal RNA". The stretch from base 1 to 73 matches the Rfam family "Eukaryotic small subunit ribosomal RNA", at positions 1759 to 1831 of the family's 1831-position model. The record is from RNAcentral. Lineage: Eukaryota; Fungi.